RNAcentral lists this ribosomal RNA (500 nucleotides) under uncultured bacterium. Its description in RNAcentral is "partial 16S ribosomal RNA". It matches the Rfam family "Bacterial small subunit ribosomal RNA", at positions 30 to 523 of the family's 1533-position model. The record is from RNAcentral.
AUUGAACGCUGGCGGCAUGCCUUACACAUGCAAGUCGAACGGCAGCACGGGAGCAAUCCUGGUGGCGAGUGGCGAACGGGUGAGUAAUAUAUCGGAACGUGCCCAGUCGUGGGGGAUAACGCAGCGAAAGCUGUGCUAAUACCGCAUACGAUCUAUGGAUGAAAGCGGGGGAUCGCAAGACCUCGCGCGAUUGGAGCGGCCGAUAUCAGAUUAGCUAGUUGGUGGGGUAAAGGCCCACCAAGGCGACGAUCUGUAGCUGGUCUGAGAGGACGACAAGCCACACUGGAACUGAGACACGGUCCAGACUCCUACGGGAGGCAGCAGUGGGGAAUUUUGGACAAUGGGCGCAAGCCUGAUCCAGCAAUGCCGCGUGCAGGAUGAAGGCCUUCGGGUUGUAAACUGCUUUUGUACGGAGCGAAACGGUCUGCCCUAAUACGGUGGGCUAAUGACGGUACCGUAAGAAUAAGCACCGGCUAACUACGUGCCAGCAGCCGCCGUAA